Long non-coding RNA from Saccostrea echinata, 298 nucleotides. RefSeq lists it as uncharacterized. NCBI's taxonomy places the organism in Eukaryota, Metazoa, Mollusca, Bivalvia, Ostreida, Ostreidae. The transcript has 3 exons. The record is from RefSeq and is a predicted model, not a curated record.
UAUUAGAAGAAUGUGUAAGAAACAUACGGAGAAGUCUUCCUUGUUAAAGAUCAGCAACGGCAGAUAAACAAUGCAUGAUGCAAUCUGCUCACUAAAAAGAUUACACCAAUACAUCCCAUGACAUGUAUUUCUACCUAUCACCUAUGUAACCUUUGUCAUGCUCUUCAGAGAGUCAUCAACAGGAAAAGGAAUUACCGGUAAGUUGACAGGACUUUCCACACUGUUUCUGGUAGCAGCUUAUGAUUGAAUUGAUGGUAGAAGACAUGGCCCACUUAAUCAAAGGUAAAUCUCAUGGAAU